AAAUUGAAGAGUUUGAUCAUGGCUCAGAUUGAACGCUGGCGGCAGGCCUAACACAUGCAAGUCGAACGGUAACAGGAAGCAGCUUGCUGCUUCGCUGACGAGUGGCGGACGGGUGAGUAAUGUCUGGGAAACUGCCUGAUGGAGGGGGAUAACUACUGGAAACGGUGGCUAAUACCGCAUAACGUCGCAAGACCAAAGAGGGGGACCUUCGGGCCUCUUGCCAUCAGAUGUGCCCAGAUGGGAUUAGCUUGUUGGUGAGGUAACGGCUCACCAAGGCGACGAUCCCUAGCUGGUCUGAGAGGAUGACC
Molecule: ribosomal RNA, 308 nt
Filed under: Salmonella enterica subsp. enterica serovar Typhimurium
Lineage: Bacteria; Pseudomonadati; Pseudomonadota; Gammaproteobacteria; Enterobacterales; Enterobacteriaceae
Also listed under: 1 other name
Description: bacterial SSU rRNA
Rfam family: Bacterial small subunit ribosomal RNA
Source: RNAcentral